AGGAAGGAGAAAUAACGGCUCCUAUUGCAACGCAAGGCGCUGUAACAGUUUCUACAACUGGCCCGAAGCCCUGUUUAAGGUCUCCACUAAGUGUAAUAGCUGACCAGCUACAGAGGUGCGACUACAUUGGCUCUAUCCGAACGAGGGAUUCAACCAACCCUCUUUACGUUGAGCUUGAAAGACAACAUCUUCAGCGCCCUAGUGGAGCUGUACUCA
This 216-nucleotide long non-coding RNA is filed under the name Vigna radiata. RNAcentral's name for it is "long non-coding RNA (VRAD_LNC002561)". The record is from RNAcentral. Lineage: Eukaryota; Viridiplantae; Streptophyta; Magnoliopsida; Fabales; Fabaceae.